RNAcentral lists this ribosomal RNA (460 nucleotides) under uncultured bacterium. RNAcentral describes it as "partial 16S ribosomal RNA". It matches the Rfam family "Bacterial small subunit ribosomal RNA", at positions 338 to 795 of the family's 1533-position model. The record is from RNAcentral.
CCUACGGGGAGCAGCAGUGAGGAAUAUUGGUCAAUGGACGAGAGUCUGAACCAGCCAAGUAGCGUGAAGGAUGACUGCCCUAUGGGUUGUAAACUUCUUUUAUAUGGGAAUAAAAUGUUCCACGUGUGGGAUUUUGUAUGUACCAUAUGAAUAAGGAUCGGCUAACUCCGUGCCAGCAGCCGCGGUAAUACGGAGGAUCCGAGCGUUAUCCGGAUUUAUUGGGUUUAAAGGGAGCGUAGGUGGAUUGUUAAGUCAGUUGUGAAAGUUUGCGGCUCAACCGUAAAAUUGCAGUUGAAACUGGCAGUCUUGAGUACAGUAGAAGUGGGCGGAAUUCGUGGUGUAGCGGUGAAAUGCUUAGAUAUCACGAAGAACUCCGAUUGCGAAGGCAGUUCACUGGACUGCAACUGACACUGAGGCUCGAAAGUGUGGGUAUCAAACAGGAUUAGAUACCCGAGUAGUC